Molecule: ribosomal RNA, 368 nt
Filed under: uncultured organism
Description: bacterial SSU rRNA
Rfam family: Bacterial small subunit ribosomal RNA
Source: RNAcentral
CGGAGGGUGCAAGCGUUAUCCGGAUUCACUGGGUUUAAAGGGUGCGUAGGUGGGUUGGUAAGUCAGUGGUGAAAUCUCCGUGCUUAACAUGGAAACUGCCAUUGAUACUACUGGUCUUGAAUUUUCUGGAGGUAAGCGGAAUAUGUCAUGUAGCGGUGAAAUGCUUAGAUAUGACAUAGAACACCAAUUGCGAAGGCAGCUUACUACAGGGACAUUGACACUGAGGCACGAAAGCGUGGGGAUCAAACAGGAUUAGAUACCCUGGUAGUCCACGCCCUAAACGAUGGAUACUCGACAUUUGUGAUACACAAUAAGUGUCUGAGCGAAAGCAUUAAGUAUCCCACCUGGGAAGUACGACCGCAAGGUUG